CCCUUAGAUGUUCUGGGCCGCACGCGCGCUACACUGAUGCAUUCAACGAGUCCAACCUUGACCGAGAGGUCCGGGUAAUCUUUGAAACUGCAUCGUGAUGGGGCUAGAUUAUUGCAAUUAUUAAUCUUCAACGAGGAAUGCCUAGUAGGCGCAAGUCAUCAGCUUGCGUCGAUUACGUCCCUGCCCUUUGUACACACCGCCCGUCGCUCCUACCGAUUGGGUGUGCUGGUGAAAUGUUCGGAUCGGCCGUUUGUCGCGGUUUCCGCGUCAUGUGGCUGAGAAGUUCAUUAAACCCUCCCACCUAGAGGAAGGAGAAGUCGUAACA
RNAcentral lists this ribosomal RNA (325 nucleotides) under uncultured eukaryote. RNAcentral describes it as "partial 18S ribosomal RNA". It matches the Rfam family "Eukaryotic small subunit ribosomal RNA", at positions 1470 to 1796 of the family's 1831-position model. The record is from RNAcentral.